CAGCCGCCGCGGUAAUACGGAGGGUCCAAGCGUUAUCCGGAAUCAUUGGGUUUAAAGGGUCCGUAGGCGGCCAAAUAAGUCAGUGGUGAAAGCCCAUCGCUCAACGAUGGAACGGCCAUUGAUACUGUUUGGCUUGAAUUAUUAGGAAGUAACUAGAAUAUGUAGUGUAGCGGUGAAAUGCUUAGAGAUUACAUGGAAUACCAAUUGCGAAGGCAGGUUACUACUAAUAUAUUGACGCUGAUGGACGAAAGCGUGGGGAGCGAACAGGAUUAGAUACCCUGGUAGUCCACGCCGUAAACGAUGGAUACUAGCUGUUCGGAGCAAUCUGAGUGGCUAAGCGAAAGUGAUAAGUAUCCCACCUGGGGAGUACGUUCGCAAGAAUGAAACUCAAAUGAAUUGACGG
RNAcentral lists this ribosomal RNA (403 nucleotides) under Bacteroidetes bacterium enrichment culture clone LiUU-18-765. RNAcentral's name for it is "bacterial SSU rRNA". It matches the Rfam family "Bacterial small subunit ribosomal RNA", at positions 509 to 916 of the family's 1533-position model. The record is from RNAcentral. Lineage: Bacteria; Pseudomonadati; Bacteroidota.